AUGGCGGGCGCAGGAGUACGCGCCAGCAAUCUGAAACUGUUUUUAGACGCAGGGGUAGAAGAGCUUCACAGCUCGGCAGGUCAAUGGAUACCGUCACCCAUGCGUUAUCGCAAUACAGGGUUGUCUAUGUCGACGGAUGCUGAAGCGGAUGAGUACUCACGCUACGGUGUAGAUGGAGAGUCGGUUGCGGUAAUGAAAUCGUUGAUUGAACGUCAUCACGUGUAGCAACGUACCGAUUUUUACCGCGCAUCAUGUCGCCCAAUAUGAUGCUUGCUUGUACCAGGCCCCUGCAAUUUCAACAGGGGCCUUUUUU
Molecule: non-coding RNA, 313 nt
Filed under: Enterobacter mori
Lineage: Bacteria; Pseudomonadati; Pseudomonadota; Gammaproteobacteria; Enterobacterales; Enterobacteriaceae
Description: MicL sRNA
Rfam family: MicL sRNA
About the family: mRNA-interfering complementary RNA regulator of Lpp. Transcription factor sigma E dependant sRNA.
Source: RNAcentral